Non-coding RNA from Paramisgurnus dabryanus, 1327 nucleotides. Lineage: Eukaryota; Metazoa; Chordata; Actinopteri; Cypriniformes; Cobitidae. The record is from RefSeq and is a predicted model, not a curated record.
AGGUCUGCAGCCUCCCCCUACUCGCUCCAGUGGGCAUCCUUUAUCCAUCCAGACCCUCAUACAGAUGGUUGGAGUUUUGAUUCACCUAAAGUACCAUGCAAGAGCACUCAUUUUCCCUCUUGAGACCAUGGUGUGACCUGCAAGGUCGAAUGGAGACUGUAAACGAGACAAUCUUGGAGUCACCUGCAUUCACUGGUCCAGUUGUUAGUCCAAUUACAGAUGGAGAUUAUAGAAGAGGAUGAUGUCUUUUCUCCAACAUCUUUCUAGACUGAUAAAAGAUCUAGACAGGCUCAAACAAAAGUUAACAGAGGGGCUUAUAUAGAGAAUGGUGAGCAGCUACACAUAAAAGAAGAACAUGGAGAAUCUGCCCAGAGGUGUUAACCAGCAAUGCAGCUAUACAACUAAAUUGAUGCAGGCGGAAACAAUGUGUGUAUGUUAUGUCCAAAUGUUGUUAUGUUCAAAUGUUUUACAAUGUACUUAAACAGGUGGACCUGUCAUUAUUGCAUUAGUCAAGUACAACUGAGUAGGUUAAGUUUACAUAUCAACGUCAAUAAAUAUAUAUAAAUAAAUAUCAGUCUUGACAGCAAACAUAAUAAUGUUAAAUAAAAUAAUAAUUACAGCUUUUUAAGAAAUUUACACGGGCUCAAACUAUCAGUGAAAUUAACUAUCAAAAACCUAAAAUAACCACAGACACGUGAAUAAAAUAUCUAACGUGAACUAGCUAGUUACUGUACAUACAUUGCUUAUUAUCAACGAAAUUUCUAGUUAACUGAUCCCACACCCAGCAUUAUUAAAAUGUAUUAUUACUACAUACCUUAAACAAAUGUUCCCUUAAAUCGCCAGACCAGGACAGGUUUCUUUCUUGCCCUUCUUCUUUUGCAUUGCGACGUCGAUAUAAGUGCAUGGUGUGGUGUAGCACGAAUUUAACGCAAAGACGCUCAUAUUAAUAAUAUACACGAUAUUGACGAUUAAUACGGAUGAUUUUAUCUUUCUUUGACAUUCUAAUCAGAGUUAUAUUGAGGAAACAAAGAAAACAUAUGACAGUUUGAAAAAUUAAUUUUUCCUUAUUUUUGUAAUGGUUUCUUUUAGAAUGCAGCUGCUACAGAUGAAGAAUCUGUCCGUCUACCACCGAAGGAGACGCGGAAAAUCGGGAAAAGAUGUUCUUGGCCCGAGGAUGCAUUUGAUUAAUUUAAAGAUAUUGUGUUUCUUUGUAUGUUAUAGAAAAACGUUGCUUUUUUGCAUACACUCGUGUAAAUAUGCAUCUUAUGAAUGUUUUCCUUUGUCUAAUUUUAAUAAAUUUUACGCAAUCAACUGCCUGUUUUAUUGA